UUUCAAAUGAAAUUGUAUAGUGUCUAUAGAGCUAAUUAAGUGGUUGUGCAGUGUGUUGUAUGUAAACUGGGUUGAUUUGUUGUUUUUCACGCAAAGAUAUGUAGAUGAAUAAGUGCACUGCAGUGUCAAUCCUUUUCGGAUUGCUUCUUCCUCAUCCGAAUCACGGCUCUCCGGAUGAUAUUGAUGUACCAACAUCUUCAGUUCUGUGUUGUAGGUUUACUGGUUACUGUCGGAAACAAUAUCAGAAACAGGACAGCACCACAAGAACUUCUUCGAACAUUUACAAACAAUCUUACGAUGGAAAAGGUACCGGGAGGAUCACCGAGGGCUCCUGAUGGAAUCUCUCAUGUGUCGUACUACUGGUCGAAUGUUUGGUGUACAAAACUCCGAUAUCCUAACACUUGCUGGAAUUAUGAUGUUACUGAGUGCUGUCAACCAAAUACGCCUGGAAAAGUUUAUUUUGCUAUCCCUCCCAUCAUUCAAUAUUUUUUCCCAAAACCCAUCAAUCUACAUCGAAGCGAAAGAUUGGGUGUUAGUAGACUGUGGAAUGCGAGGGCAAAGCAAACCUCUUUGCUAUAAGGGACUCUAGAACGAGUAUGACAAAAUGUAUUACUCCCACUAGAAUCACAAGAAUGUCGGUUAUAUUGCCAGUCAACUACAGUCUAGUUAGGCACCGUACACAUUAGAAGAAGGAUACGUUUCUUGCGCCGAUCAUGCCAGUUUCAUCCAACGAUUCAUAAACGAGGCCGUGGUAAAAGAUCUCCACUACUGACGAUCCGGAGCCAGCGUCUUCACUUGGUCCCAGUCAAGAUUCUCGUCGACUGUCGGAUUUCGGCGGCUACAGUGAACGAAUUUACAUAAAUGAAGAUGGGUGAAAAGGAUUGGAACAUCGAUAUGUAUGCUGCUGCUGAGAUUCGCUCUGCGCUGGUUUAUGGAAAACUAUGUUCCUGCUGUUACACUUUAUCUAGGA
Long non-coding RNA from Uranotaenia lowii, 970 nucleotides. RefSeq lists it as uncharacterized. NCBI's taxonomy places the organism in Eukaryota, Metazoa, Arthropoda, Insecta, Diptera, Culicidae. The record is from RefSeq and is a predicted model, not a curated record. The transcript is spliced from 4 exons.